Homo sapiens (human) is the source of this 2309-nucleotide long non-coding RNA. Ensembl annotates it as THUMPD3 antisense RNA 1. Its record names the gene THUMPD3-AS1. The record is from Ensembl. NCBI's taxonomy places the organism in Eukaryota, Metazoa, Chordata, Mammalia, Primates, Hominidae.
GCGGAAGCCGCCGGGGCCGCCUAGAGAAGAGGCUGUGCUUCGGCGCUCCGGCUCCUCAGAGAGCCUCGGCUAGGUGUGGAAACAGGAAGAGAACUAGAACUGGAAGUAAAGCAUUGAAGAUGUGACUGAAUUGCUGCAAUCUCAUGAUCAAAUUUGAAUGGAUGAGGAGUUGCUUUUUAGGGAUGAGCAAAGAAAGUGGUUUCUCGAGAUGGAAUCUACUGGUGAAGUUGCUGUGAACAUUGUUAAAAUGCCAAUAAAGGAUUUAGGAAUUACAGAAACCUGGUUGAUAAAGCAGUGCCAGGGUGUGAGAGAGUUGACUUCAAUUUUGAAAUAAGUUCCACUGGCUGGGUGUGGUGGCUCACACCUGCAAUCCCAGUACUUUAGGAGGCCGAGACUGGUAGAUCAUUUGAGGUCAGGAGUUCAAGACCAGCCUUGCCAACAUGGUGAAACCCCACCUCUACCAAAUUAGCCAGGUGUGGUGCACACCUGUAGUCCCAGCUACUUGGGAAGCUGAGGCAGGAGAAUCUCUUGAACCAGGGAGGAGGAGGUUGCAGUAAGCCGAGAUGGCGCCCCUGCACUCCAGCCUGGGUGACAGAGUGAGACCUUGCGUUUAAAAAAAAAAAAAAAGGAAAAGGAAAAAAAAGUUCUACUGUGGGUAAAAUGCUAUCAUGCUAUCAAACAGCAUCACAUGCUACAGAGAAGUCUUGUGAAAGGAUGUCAGUGUGGCAAACUUCAUUGUCUUUUAAGAAAUUGCCACAGCUAUCGUAAUCUUCAACCACCACCACCCUGAUGAGUCAGUAGCCAUCGUUAACGUUGGCGUAAGACCCUCCACCAGCAAAAAGAUUGUUAGCAUUUUUUUAGCAGUGAUGUAUUUAUCAAUUAUACAUAAUGCUAUUGUACACUUCUUAAUAGACUAUGGUAUAGUGUAACCAUAAUUUAUGCACUGGGAAACCAACAAAUUCAUGAGAUUCGCUUUAUUGUAGUGCUCUGGAAUUGAGCCUGCCGUGUUUCUGAGGUUGCUCCUUGAGGGCAGGACAGUUCUUAUGGCUUUAUCCGUUGCGUAAGCACAGAGAGGUCUGCGAGGUCAAAACUAUUGUCAUGAUAGCAAGAUGCCUGUCUUUUUCAUUUAUUCUCACGGUGUGCAGAGGCUACAUGAUGUGUGAUGACAUCCUCAUUGAUGUUAAUGAAUGGUGCUAUACUUGAAUUUUCUAAGGUGUCAUUAGGCUUUUGAAUGGUAACCACCAUAUCACUGGAAGGAUUUUGUAAUUAUAAAUAAAAAACCUGUCAGCAGAACAUAAAUACCAAGCUGUCACAUGUCAUUUGUGGAAUGAGGUGACGUGACCCUAGGCCUGAACAAUGUUCUAUGCAGAUUAACAGAAGGUUUCUGACACGAAAGCCGGGAAAGGUCUGCCUCUGCUUAGGGGAACUUAAGUGGAUUACAGAGAAGAAAAUUGCCUUCCUCCAGUUUAUGCUUAUGCCUUCAAUUAUCUUUUCCCAUUCAAGUCUACCAGCUUGUCUGUUACACAAAGAGGACUCAUCGGCAGUUUGUAAUUCUCAGCUUCCUCUGUAAUCUAGUGAAUAGAUGUCACUAACAAUGUAUCUAGGCCAGUGGCACAUGGCUCUUUGAAAUAAGUAGUUACAUUCUUUACAAAAAAGUUCCACUUUCUAUUGUUAAUUGUUUUAAAACUCUUGGGUCCACUGAUCCAACCAUGGAGAUUUCAUUAUGUCUAAUUUGCCCAUUAGGUCUAGAAUAUUCUGGAUGUAUCACUCUUAUCUAAAAGCUAAAGAAAUAUGAUUACCUCUAUUGGUAUUGCCCCAGUUCCACACAUUGGAUCGACUAUUAUAUCAUAAGGUAGAGGAUCACAGAGCCUAGAGAAAAGAAAACAGCCUAUGUGAAGACUCACUCAAAAGCUGAGGCUUCUAUACUGAUGAUUCCUGAAGCUUUAAGAUUGAGGACCUACCACACUAGCCCGAAGGAACACCAAUCUACACAUAUUUUAGAAAUCAAUUUGUGGCCGCGCACGGUGACUCACGCCUGUAAUCCCAGCACUUUGGGAGGCUGAGAUGGGUGGAUCGCUUGAGGUCAGGAAUUCAAGACCAGCCUGGCCAACAUGGCGAAACCCCGUCUCCACUAAAAAUACAAAAAAUUAGCUGGGCGUGGUGGUGGGUGCCUGUAAUCCCAGCUAGUACAAAGGCUGAGACUCGAGAAUUGCUUGAACCCAGAAGGCGGGGAUUGCAGUGAGCCAAGAUCAUGUAAGAUGCAGCCUGGGUGACAGAGCAAGACUCCGUCUCAAAAAUAAAUAAAUAAA